RNAcentral lists this ribosomal RNA (382 nucleotides) under Pardofelis marmorata (marbled cat). RNAcentral describes it as "partial 12S ribosomal RNA". It matches the Rfam family "Bacterial small subunit ribosomal RNA", at positions 794 to 1374 of the family's 1533-position model. Lineage: Eukaryota; Metazoa; Chordata; Mammalia; Carnivora; Felidae. The record is from RNAcentral.
GCUUAGCCCUAAACCUAGAUAGUUAGCUAAACAAAACUAUCCGCCAGAGAACUACUAGCUACAGCUUAAAACUCAAAGGACUUGGCGGUGCUUUACAUCCCUCUAGAGGAGCCUGUUCUAUAAUCGAUAAACCCCGAUAUACCUCACCAUCUCUUGCUAAUUCAGCCUAUAUACCGCCAUCUUCAGCAAACCCUAAAAAGGAAGAAAAGUAAGCACAAGUAUCUUAACACAAAAAAGUAGGUCAAGGUGUAGCCUAUGAGAUGGGAAGUAAUGGGCUACAUUUUCUAAAACUAGAACACCCACGAAAAUCCUUAUGAAACUAAGUAUUAAAGGAGGAUUUAGUAGUAAAUUUGAGAAUAGAGAGCUCAAUUGAAUCGGGCCA